This 253-nucleotide ribosomal RNA is filed under the name uncultured bacterium. Its description in RNAcentral is "partial 16S ribosomal RNA". It matches the Rfam family "Bacterial small subunit ribosomal RNA", at positions 524 to 776 of the family's 1533-position model. The record is from RNAcentral.
UACAGAGGGGGCAAGCGUUGUUCGGAAUUACUGGGCGUAAAGGGCGCGUAGGCGGCCUUCUAAGUCGAACGUGAAAUCCCUGGGCUCAACCCAGGAACUGCGUCCGAUACUGGAAGGCUUGAAUCCGGGAGAGGGAUGCGGAAUUCCUGGUGUAGCGGUGAAAUGCGCAGAUAUCAGGAGGAACACCAAUGGCGAAGGCAGCACUCUGGGACGGUACUGACGCUGAGACGCGAAAGCGUGGGGAGCAAACAGG